This is a long non-coding RNA of Cylas formicarius (sweet potato weevil), 882 nucleotides long. RefSeq lists it as uncharacterized. The transcript is spliced from 2 exons. NCBI's taxonomy places the organism in Eukaryota, Metazoa, Arthropoda, Insecta, Coleoptera, Brentidae. The record is from RefSeq and is a predicted model, not a curated record.
UAGAAAUUUCCAAAUAUAUGACAACAGUGGCAAGACUGCAUUAUGUCAUGAUUGGGCAUGUUUAAGCGAUUGCACUCAUUAAUUGAAAAUAAAAAAACGAAAAACGGACCUAAAAUUGAAACAUGACUGAUUCGUUUCGUCAGUUUUACCGCCAUCAUUCGUAGUCACUGAACAGUAACAAACAUUUGGAAACCGUUAAAUGAAAUUUCAGAAACUUCUCGGAAUUGGGGGAAAUGGUUUCGCUAUUUUCAUCACUAAAAGAAAACGACGAGGAUGUUUUUAUUUUAAAUUUUAUUAUACUAAUUUUGUCAAUAAAUAACAAUUAGCAAAAAUUAAACAGAAAGUGUGUCAUUUAGUUGAAGAUAGAGCUUAACCAUUUAAUUUUUUUUACUUGAUCUGACUUAGAUUAUAACUUAUGACUUUACAAUAUGUUCGUUACAAAUGAUUAUUUUACACAGAAAGCGGAAAUAUACAUACUUAACUCAGAAUGAAUUUCGGAUGCAUUAUUGUUACCUUAUAAUGAAGCGCCAACAGUGUUUUGGAAGUGUCGCCUAAUGAGCCGAGUUGAAAUUAUUAAAUCGCCCAGAUGAUGACGUUCUCGAUUUAUUUGAGUAAACAAAUAUCAACUUAGAUGUCCGCACUGCUGCGACCGUGAAAUAUGAAUCAUCUUUUAAUUGAGUUACAAUCUAAAAUUGAGAGGUAAUGCUAAAACUAUCAAAAUUAGAAACUGCUUGUCGCAGCCGUUUUGAAUAAUCCCAAUUUUGUUAAGGAAUGCUUACGGGAAACAGUUUUGGGCGAAAUUAUUGUAACCAGUUUUUGUGCGUAAUCGUCAGUUUUAACAUUACCUCGGGCGACGUUCACACUCUUGUGAUAUGCUAAAUG